This 56-nucleotide transfer RNA is filed under the name Triticum aestivum (bread wheat). It matches the Rfam family "tRNA", at positions 10 to 63 of the family's 71-position model. From Rfam's summary of the family: Transfer RNA (tRNA) molecules are approximately 80 nucleotides in length. Their secondary structure includes four short double-helical elements and three loops (D, anti-codon, and T loops). Further hydrogen bonds mediate the characteristic L-shaped molecular structure. tRNAs have two regions of fundamental functional importance: the anti-codon, which is responsible for specific mRNA codon recognition, and the 3' end, to which the tRNAs corresponding amino acid is attached (by aminoacyl-tRNA synthetases). tRNAs cope with the degeneracy of the genetic code in two manners: having more than one tRNA (with a specific anti-codon) for a particular amino acid; and 'wobble' base-pairing, i.e. permitting non-standard base-pairing at the 3rd anti-codon position. The record is from Rfam by way of RNAcentral. Lineage: Eukaryota; Viridiplantae; Streptophyta; Magnoliopsida; Poales; Poaceae.
GCUUAGUUGGUAGAGCACAAGGCUCUUAACUUUAUGGACGUGGGUUCGAGCCCCAU